Molecule: ribosomal RNA, 402 nt
Filed under: uncultured Coriobacteriaceae bacterium
Lineage: Bacteria; Bacillati; Actinomycetota; Coriobacteriia; Coriobacteriales; Coriobacteriaceae
Description: partial 16S ribosomal RNA
Rfam family: Bacterial small subunit ribosomal RNA
Source: RNAcentral
UGGGGAAUUUUGCGCAAUGGGCGAAAGCCUGACGCAGCAACGCCGCGUGCGGGACGAAGGCUCUCGGGUCGUAAACCGCUUUCAGCAGGGAUGAAAUUGACAGUACCUGCAGAAGAAGCCCCGGCUAAAUACGUGCCAGCAGCCGCGGUAAUACGUAUGGGGCAAGCGUUAUCCGGAUUCAUUGGGCGUAAAGAGCGCGUAGGCGGAUCGUUAAGUCAGAUGUGAAAACCGGGGGCUCAACCCGCGGCCUGCAUCUGAAACUGGCGGUCUUGAGUCUGGUAGAGGAGUGUGGAAUUCCCAGUGUAGCGGUGAAAUGCGCAGAUAUUGGGAGGAACACCAGUGGCGAAGGCGGCACUCUGGGCCACGACUGACGCUGAGGCGCGAAAGCUAGGGGAGCAAACA